GACGAACGCUGGCGGCGUGCUUAACACAUGCAAGUCGAACGGAAAGGCCCUGCUUUUGUGGGGUGCUCGAUUGGCGAACGGGUGAGUAACACGUGAGUAACCUGCCCUUGACUUUGGGAUAACUUCAGGAAACUGGGGCUAAUACCGGAUAUGAGCUCCUGCUGCAUGGUGGGGGUUGGAAAGUUUCGGCGGUUGGGGAUGGACUCGCGGCUUAUCAGCUUGUUGGUGGGGUAGUGGCUUACCAAGGCUUUGACGGGUAGCCUGCCUGAGAGGGGUACCGGGCACAAUGGGACUGAGAGACGGACCAGACUCGUACGGGAGGCAGCAGGGGGGAAUAUGGCACAACGGGGGGAAGCGUGAGGCAGCAACGCCGCGUGCGGGAUGACGGGCUUCGGGUUGUAAACAGCUGUCGCAGGUGACGAAGAGGGAGUGACGGUAAUGGGUAAAGAAGCACCGGCUAACUACGUG
RNAcentral lists this ribosomal RNA (468 nucleotides) under uncultured bacterium. RNAcentral describes it as "partial 16S ribosomal RNA". It matches the Rfam family "Bacterial small subunit ribosomal RNA", at positions 28 to 507 of the family's 1533-position model. The record is from RNAcentral.